GUUGAACGCUGGCGGCAUGCCUUACACAUGCAAGUCGAACGGUAACAGGUUACGCUGACGGGAGUCGAGCGGGUGAGUAAUGUAUCAGAACGUGCCCAUUCGUGGUGCAUGACUGCUUGAACGAGCAGCUAAUACCGCAUACGCCCUGAGGGUGAAAGCGUGGGGUCGCAAUUCCUCGCUCUAUUGGGUCUGCCGUUAUCUGGUUGGGUAUUUGGUGAGGUAAAGGCUCACGACGCCGACGAUCUGUAGCUGGUCUGAGAGGACGACGAGCCACACUGGGAGUGAGACACGGCACAGACUCCGACGGGAGGCAGAAGUGGGGAAUGUUGGACAAAGGGCGCAAGACUGAUCAAGCGAUGCAGCGUGCGGGAAGAAGGCCUGCGGGUGGUAAAACGCUUUUGUCAGGGAAGAAAAGGUUCUGGAGAAAACAUGCGACUCAUGACGGUACCUGAAGAAGAAGCACCGGCUAACUACGUG
This 477-nucleotide ribosomal RNA is filed under the name uncultured bacterium. RNAcentral describes it as "partial 16S ribosomal RNA". It matches the Rfam family "Bacterial small subunit ribosomal RNA", at positions 28 to 507 of the family's 1533-position model. The record is from RNAcentral.